GUUAGAUGGGAAAUUGAAUAUUAACUUGGCAUUCUCUGCUUCCAGGUAACUAAAACCUCAACUUGUAGGUAAGGAGGUAGAGUUCUGAUCUUCAGUCUGAACCAGUUUUCUAUUUAAUAUAUUGCAUUCUAUUCCCUACCGACAGCAACUUCCCAAGACUGACAACUAGGCAGAAGUUCAGAGAACAGCGGAGAAUGGGAAACAAGGCUGCCUGGAACUAUCUUAGGUGAACUUCUUGACGUCAUCAUACAAGAAAGCACAAAAUCAUCAUUUCUGAGGCCCUUGGGCCAUGAACUUUUGAUGCUUUGCUUCCUUCAUCAUGAACAAUCUUCCAAUAGAGGUCAAGCACGCCUGUGUACAUGACAUCAGUUCCUUUACAUCCUGACUGAGGUGGCCAACAGUGUCUAAUGGAUAAGAAGUCAACACAGCCAUGGCAGUGAUGUGCUGUGUGAUCAUCUAAUUGGUGAAGAUGUGAGUAUUCUUGCACUCUGAAAGCAUUUGCCUCACAGUAUCAUGUACACCAAAGCAGGCAGCCUGGUGGAAGAUAACUCCAAGCACAGAUACAUUAAAAGCUUGGCAUAGUUUGGCAUAGGCCUUUAAUCCCAUCAGAUUUGCAGAACUUAACCAGGCAAUCACUGAGGCCUGCAAAUUCCCUUUCACUUCUGGCUUUACCCAUGUCAGCUGCUAGACAGUCAUAGGCAAAACAAGAGGGUGCACAAAAAACAGGAUAU
RNAcentral lists this long non-coding RNA (731 nucleotides) under Oryctolagus cuniculus (rabbit). Its description in RNAcentral is "lncRNA (ENSOCUG00000030904.1)". The record is from RNAcentral. Lineage: Eukaryota; Metazoa; Chordata; Mammalia; Lagomorpha; Leporidae.